Molecule: ribosomal RNA, 385 nt
Filed under: uncultured bacterium
Lineage: Bacteria
Description: bacterial SSU rRNA
Rfam family: Bacterial small subunit ribosomal RNA
Source: RNAcentral
AAUGGGCGAAAGCCUGAUCCAGCCAUGCCACGUGAGGGAUGAAGGCCUUAGGGUUGUAAAGCUCUUUUGUCAGGGAAGAUAAUGACGGUACCUGAAGAAUAAGCACCGGCUAACUUCGUGCCAGCAGCCGCGGUAAUACGAAGGGUGCUAGCGUUGUUCGGAAUCACUGGGCGUAAAGCGCGCGUAGGCGGCUUAUCAAGUCAGAGGUGAAAGCCUGGAGCUUAACUCCAGAACUGCCGUUGAAACUGUUAAGCUGGGGUGUCGGCGGGGAUAGCGGAAUUGCUAAUGUAGAGGUGAAAUUCGUAGAUAUUAGCAGGAACACCGGUGGCGAAGGCGGCUAUCUGGACGACAACUGACGCUGAGGCGCGAAAGCGUGGGGAUCAAA